RNAcentral lists this ribosomal RNA (384 nucleotides) under uncultured bacterium. RNAcentral's name for it is "partial 16S ribosomal RNA". It matches the Rfam family "Bacterial small subunit ribosomal RNA", at positions 331 to 732 of the family's 1533-position model. The record is from RNAcentral.
CCAGACUCCUACGGGAGGCAGCAGUGGGGAAUAUUGCACAAUGGGGGAAACCCUGAUGCAGCGACGCCGCGUGAGCGAAGAAGUAUUUCGGUAUGUAAAGCUCUAUAAGCAGGGAAGAAAUUGACGGUACCUGAGUAAGAAGCUCCGGCUAAAUACGUGCCAGCAGCCGCGGUAAUACGUAUGGAGCAAGCGUUAUCCGGAUUUACUGGGUGUAAAGGGAGCGUAGACGGCGAGGUAAGCCUGAAGUGGAAGCCCGCGGCCCAACCGCGGAACUGCUUUGGGAACUGUUUUGCUGGAGUAUGGGAGGGGUAAGCGGAAUUCCUGGUGUAGUGGUGAAAUGCGUAGAUAUCAGGAGGAACGCCGGUGGCGCAGGCGGCUUACUGG